Triticum aestivum (bread wheat) is the source of this 125-nucleotide non-coding RNA. Lineage: Eukaryota; Viridiplantae; Streptophyta; Magnoliopsida; Poales; Poaceae. The record is from Rfam.
UGUAUACUCCCUCCGUCUCGAUUUACUUGUCGCGGAAAUGGAUCUAUCUAGAUGUAUUUUAGUUCUAGAUGCAUCCAUUUCUAUCCAUUUCUGUGACGAGUAAUUCCGGACGGAGGGAGUAUGAU